UGACAACCUGGUUGAUCCUGCCAGUAGUUAUAUGCUUGUCUCAAAGAUUAAGCCAUGCAUGUCUAAGUAUAAGCCGAAACAAGGUGAAACCGCGAAAGGCUCAUUAAAUCAGUUAUGGUUCCUUAGAUCGUACUAACAGUUACUCGGAUAACUGUGGUAAUUCUAGAGCUAAUACGUGCAGUCUGAGCCCCGACUGGAGACGGAAGGGGUGCGUUUAUUAGAUCAAGGCCAAUCGGCGGCGCGUUCACGCGUGUCGUCGCAAUGUCUGGUGACUCUGAAUAACCCUUUGGUUGAUCGCACGGUCUCGUACCGGCGACGCAUCUUUCAAAUGUCUGCCUUAUCAUACUGUCGAUGGUAGGAUCUGCGCCUACCAUGGUGAUAACGGGUAACGGGGAAUCAGGGUUCGAUUCCGGAGAGGGAGCCUGAGAAAUGGCUACCACAUCCAAGGAAGGCAGCAGGCGCGCAAAUUACCCACUCCCAGCACGGGGAGGUAGUGACGAAAAAUAACGAUACGGGACUCAUCCGAGGCCCCGUAAUCGGAAUGAGAACAGUCUAAACCUCUUAGCGAGGAUCAAUUGGAGGGCAAGUCUAGUGCCAGCAGCCGCGGUAAUUCUAGCUCCAAUAGCGUAUAUUAAAGUUGUUGCGGUUAAAAAGCUCGUAGUCGAAUCUGUGUCCCGCACCGUCGGUUCAUCGCACGCGGUGUUUACUGGCGUGUUUCGCGGGACGUCCUGCCGGUGGAUGCGGCCCGUCGCUUCUGCGGCGGGCGGUCCAACUCAACCCGUCGCGGUGCUCUUCACUGAGUGUCGAGGUGGGCCGGUACGUUUACUUUGAACAAAUUAGAGUGCUCAAAGCAGGCCAUGUUUGCCUGAAUAUUGUGUGCAUGGAAUAAUGGAAUAGGACCUCGGUUCUGUUUGUGUUGGUUUUCGGAACUUCCGAGGUAAUGAUUAAUAGGAACUGACGGGGGCAUUCGUAUUGCGACGUUAGAGGUGAAAUUCUUGGAUCGUCGCAAGACGGACAGAAGCGAAGGCAUUUGCCAAGAAUGUUUUCAUUGAUCAAGAACGAAAGUCAGAGGUUCGAAGGCGAUCAGAUACCGCCCUAGUUCUGACCAUAAACGAUGCCAACUAGCAAUCCGUCGGUGUUCAGUUGAUGGCCCGACGGGCGACUUCCGGGAAACCAAAGUCUUUGGGUUCCGGGGGAAGUAUGGUUGCAAAGCUGAAACUUAAAGGAAUUGACGGAAGGGCACCACCAGGAGUGGAGCCUGCGGCUUAAUUUGACUCAACACGGGAAACCUCACCAGGCCCGGACACCGGUAGGAUUGACAGAUUGAGAGCUCUUUCUUGAUUCGGUGGGUGGUGGUGCAUGGCCGUUCUUAGUUGGUGGAGCGAUUUGUCUGGUUAAUUCCGAUAACGAACGAGACUCUUCCCUGCUAAAUAGACGUACUAACCGACAUCACCAAGGCCGGAUGCCGCAAGGUGUCGCGGGUUCUUGCUGUCGGCGUACAAAUGAUCUUCUUAGAGGGACAGGUGGCUUUUAGCCGCACGAGAUGGAGCAAUAGCAGGUCUGUGAUGCCCUUAGAUGUCCUGGGCCGCACGCGCGCUACACUGAAGGUAUCAACGUGUGUUCUCCCUGGCCGAGAGGUCUGGGUAACCCGCUGAACCACCUUCGUGCUUGGGAUCGGGGCUUGAAAUUCUUCCCCGUGAACGAGGAAUUCCCAGUAAGUGCGAGUCAUAAGCUCGCGCUGAUUACGUCCCUGCCCUUUGUACACACCGCCCGUCGCUACUACCGAUUGACAGAGAUAGUGAGGUUUUCGGACCGGCACGCGAUCCGGCCUUUCGGGGUCGGCGCCGUCGCUGGAAAGAUGAUCGAACUGUUUUUGUUAGAGGAAGUAAAAGUCGUAACAAGGUUUCCGUA
RNAcentral lists this ribosomal RNA (1911 nucleotides) under Ptilium horioni. RNAcentral describes it as "SSU rRNA". It matches the Rfam family "Eukaryotic small subunit ribosomal RNA". The record is from RNAcentral. Lineage: Eukaryota; Metazoa; Arthropoda; Insecta; Coleoptera; Ptiliidae.